Molecule: ribosomal RNA, 234 nt
Filed under: uncultured bacterium
Lineage: Bacteria
Description: partial 16S ribosomal RNA
Rfam family: Bacterial small subunit ribosomal RNA
Source: RNAcentral
AUACUGAGUGGCAAACGGGUGAGUAUAAUGUGGGAAUCUGCCUUUUGGUUCGGAAUAACCCCGGGAAACUGGGGCUAAUACCGGAUGGUUCCUUCGGGAUAAAGAUUUAUCGCCAAAAGAUGAGUCCGCGUACGAUUAGCUAGUUGGUGAGGUAAUGGCUCACCAAGGCGACGAUCGUUAGCUGGUCUGAGAGGACGAUCAGCCACACUGGGACUGAGACACGGCCCAGACUCC